GCUGCAAGAACCACUAUACUUGAAUAAAUUAAAGUGGCAGAUGACUUAGGAGGGGAACCGCCAGGUGGAGUGCUGGUCUGAGUCUGAGAGCCAGCUGGAGGAGGAGAAGAAGAAGAAGGCGAAGGACCCUGUGGUGGUGCCGGUGGGCCUGAAACCGGUGCCUCACCAGGUGGGGAAGAAACAGGAGUAGUUGGAGCUUGGGGUGAUGGAGGUGUUGCAAUAGGGCCCUCAGCCGUUGGCGACGGUGAAGGACCAUGAUGGGUGGGAGAGAGCGCUGGGCCUGAAUACGGUGCUGGUGAUGAUGCAGUGGGGGGA
Molecule: long non-coding RNA, 315 nt
Filed under: Gossypium barbadense (sea-island cotton)
Lineage: Eukaryota; Viridiplantae; Streptophyta; Magnoliopsida; Malvales; Malvaceae
Description: long non-coding RNA (GBAR_LNC012855)
Source: RNAcentral